AGAGUUUGAUCAUGGCUCAGGACGAACGCUGGCGGCGUGCCUAAUACAUGCAAGUAGAACGCUGAAGAGAGGAGCUUGCUCUUCUUGGAUGAGUUGCGAACGGGUGAGUAACGCGUAGGUAACCUGCCUUGUAGCGGGGGAUAACUAUUGGAAACGAUAGCUAAUACCGCAUAACAAUGGAUGACACAUGUCAUUUAUUUGAAAGGGGCAAUUGUUCCACUACAAGAUGGACCUGCGUUGUAUUAGCUAGUAGGUGAGGUAAUGGCUCACCUAGGCGACGAUACAUAGCCGACCUGAGAGGGUGAUCAGCCACACUGGGACUGAGACACGGCCCAGACUCCUACGGGAGGCAGCAGUAGGGAAUCUUCGGCAAUGGGGGCAACCCUGACCGAGCAACGCCGCGUGAGUGAAGAAGGUUUUCGGAUCGUAAAGCUCUGUUGUAAGUCAAGAACGGGUGUGAGAGUGGAAAGUUCACACUGUGACGGUAGCUUACCAGAAAGGGACGGCUAACUACGUGCCAGCAGCCGCGGUAAUACGUAGGUCCCGAGCGUUGUCCGGAUUUAUUGGGCGUAAAGCGAGCGCAGGCGGUUUGAUAAGUCUGAAGUUAAAGGCUGUGGCUCAACCAUAGUUCGCUUUGGAAACUGUCAAACUUGAGUGCAGAAGGGGAGAGUGGAAUUCCAUGUGUAGCGGUGAAAUGCGUAGAUAUAUGGAGGAACACCGGUGGCGAAAGCGGCUCUCUGGUCUGUAACUGACGCUGAGGCUCGAAAGCGUGGGGAGCGAACAGGAUUAGAUACCCUGGUAGUCCACGCCGUAAACGAUGAGUGCUAGGUGUUGGAUCCUUUCCGGGAUUCAGUGCCGCAGCUAACGCAUUAAGCACUCCGCCUGGGGAGUACGACCGCAAGGUUGAAACUCAAAGGAAUUGACGGGGGCCCGCACAAGCGGUGGAGCAUGUGGUUUAAUUCGAAGCAACGCGAAGAACCUUACCAGGUCUUGACAUCCCGAUGCUAUUUCUAGAGAUAGAAAGUUACUUCGGUACAUCGGUGACAGGUGGUGCAUGGUUGUCGUCAGCUCGUGUCGUGAGAUGUUGGGUUAAGUCCCGCAACGAGCGCAACCCCUAUUGUUAGUUGCCAUCAUUCAGUUGGGCACUCUAGCGAGACUGCCGGUAAUAAACCGGAGGAAGGUGGGGAUGACGUCAAAUCAUCAUGCCCCUUAUGACCUGGGCUACACACGUGCUACAAUGGUUGGUACAACGAGUUGCGAGUCGGUGACGGCGAGCUAAUCUCUUAAAGCCAAUCUCAGUUCGGAUUGUAGGCUGCAACUCGCCUACAUGAAGUCGGAAUCGCUAGUAAUCGCGGAUCAGCACGCCGCGGUGAAUACGUUCCCGGGCCUUGUACACACCGCCCGUCACACCACGAGAGUUUGUAACACCCGAAGUCGGUGAGGUAACCUUUUGGAGCCAGCCGCCUAAGGUGGGACAGAUGAUUGGGGUGAAGUCGUAACAAGGUA
RNAcentral lists this ribosomal RNA (1506 nucleotides) under metagenome. RNAcentral's name for it is "bacterial SSU rRNA". It matches the Rfam family "Bacterial small subunit ribosomal RNA". The record is from RNAcentral.